Tricholoma furcatifolium is the source of this 83-nucleotide non-coding RNA. Lineage: Eukaryota; Fungi; Basidiomycota; Agaricomycetes; Agaricales; Tricholomataceae. The record is from the annotation of a GenBank genome assembly.
CCGACCUUAGCUCAGUUGGUAGAGCGCAAGACUGUAACGGGUUACCUAUCUUGAUGCCGCCUGUUCGAUCCAGGCAGGUCGGA